RNAcentral lists this ribosomal RNA (274 nucleotides) under uncultured bacterium. Its description in RNAcentral is "partial 16S ribosomal RNA". It matches the Rfam family "Bacterial small subunit ribosomal RNA", at positions 523 to 796 of the family's 1533-position model. The record is from RNAcentral.
AUACGGAGGGGGCUAGCGUUGUCCGGAAUUACUGGGCGUAAAGCGCGCGUAGGCGGUUUGCCAAGUCAGGCGUGAAAGCCCCGGGCUCAACCCGGGAACUGCGUUUGAAACUGGCAGGCUUGAGGCCGGGAGAGGGUAGUGGAAUUCCCAGUGUAGAGGUGAAAUUCGUAGAUAUUGGGAAGAACACCAGUGGCGAAGGCGGCUACCUGGACCGGUUCUGACGCUGAGGUGCGAAAGCGUGGGGAGCAAACAGGAUUAGAAACCCCGGUAGUCC